UAGCUUCAGCGCCUGUUGCGUUCCAGUCACUUCCGGGGCGGAUCGGAAGUUGCUUUGUUUUGCUUCAAGAUGGCUGCGGGGAUGUAUUUGGAACAUUAUCUGGACAGUAUCGAAAACCUCCCCUUCGAACUGCAGAGAAACUUUCAGCUCAUGAGGGACCUGGACCAAAGAACAGAGGACCUGAAGGCUGAAAUUGACAAGUUGGCCACUGAGUAUAUGAAUAGCGCCCGCAGCCUGAGCUCCGAGGAAAAAUUGGCCCUCCUCAAACAGAUCCAGGAAGCCUAUGGCAAAUGCAAGGAAUUUGGUGACGACAAGGUGCAGCUUGCCAUGCAGACCUAUGAGAUGGUGGACAAACACAUUCGGCGACUGGACACAGACCUGGCCCGUUUUGAGGCUGAUUUGAAGGAGAAGCAGAUUGAGUCCAGUGACUAUGACAGCUCUUCUAGCAAAGGCAAAAAGAAAGGCCGGACUCAAAAGGAGAAGAAGGCUGCCCGUGCUCGUUCCAAAGGGAAAAACUCAGAUGAAGAAGCUCCCAAAGCUGCCCAGAAGAAGUUGAAACUUGUGCGCACAAGUCCUGAGUAUGGGAUGCCCUCAGUGACCUUUGGCAGUGUCCACCCCUCUGAUGUGUUGGAUAUGCCUGUGGAUCCCAACGAACCCACCUAUUGCCUUUGUCACCAGGUCUCCUAUGGAGAGAUGAUUGGCUGUGACAACCCUGAUUGUUCCAUCGAGUGGUUCCACUUUGCCUGUGUGGGGCUGACGACCAAGCCUCGGGGGAAGUGGUUCUGCCCACGCUGCUCCCAGGAACGCAAGAAGAAAUAGAUAGGGGCGAUGGAUUCCCACGGUUUCUUCCACAUCCCUGGACCCAGGCUAGUGGGGAGAGGAAAGCCUGUGCUGGGGCUCAGGGGCCCAGGGAGAGUGGAUGGCACAGUGUAGUCAUCCCUUCUCCUCCCCUCUCCCCACUCCUGGUGCUGAGGCUGCAUCCAAACCCUGGAAGGGAGGGGUGCCGCCGCUGCUAAACAUCUGUGCUCUCAUUGUCUGCCCCCCUCAGAGGGAAGUGGUCUUGCCCACUGUCCUUUUGCCUCCGUGCUGAGGUUGGUGCUGUAUUUCCAAGGGAUGGUCCUCUUCACUCCCCUUGCUUUGUAUUUAAGGACUGGGGCAGUAGCAUGGGGGCACUCCCUAGCCCUCCUGACUCCCUCCCCCUGUAGGGGGGUCUCUGGUGUGAUAAACUCUCUUUGUUCUCUUCCUGCUUUUUCCACGGUGGGGGCUCCCCCAGAGCAUCUGGGCUGUGGCCUUAGUUGAAGGGGUACCCCUUCCUCUGUGCCAAGAGAAUUCAUCCUGGCUUUGUGAAUGGGAGAGGGAGCAAGGUGGAGUGCACGUAACUCACGUGUAAAGCAACUUGAGUAGUGCUGCUCCUGCUUCUGCCACCUGCCCCAGCCCAGGAUUCAAUUUCGGCCUCCACUCCAGGCAGCCCUCUCUCUCCCACCGAAUAUGA
Molecule: RNA transcript, 1492 nt
Organism: Lontra canadensis (Northern American river otter)
Lineage: Eukaryota; Metazoa; Chordata; Mammalia; Carnivora; Mustelidae
Gene: ING4
Gene name: inhibitor of growth family member 4
Exons: 9
Source: RefSeq, a predicted model, not a curated record